RNAcentral lists this ribosomal RNA (2930 nucleotides) under Escherichia coli. Its description in RNAcentral is "bacterial LSU rRNA". It matches the Rfam family "Bacterial large subunit ribosomal RNA". Lineage: Bacteria; Pseudomonadati; Pseudomonadota; Gammaproteobacteria; Enterobacterales; Enterobacteriaceae. The record is from RNAcentral.
GGGUUGUGAGGUUAAGCGACUAAGCGUACACGGUGGAUGUCCUGGCAGUCAGAGGCGAUGAAGGACGUGCUAAUCUGCGAUAAGCGUCGGUAAGGUGAUAUGAACCGUUAUAACCGGCGAUUUCCGAAUGGGGAAACCCAGUGUGAUUCGUCACACUAUCAUUAACUGAAUCCAUAGGUUAAUGAGGCGAACCGGGGGAACUGAAACAUCUAAGUACCCCGAGGAAAAGAAAUCAACCGAGAUUCCCCCAGUAGCGGCGAGCGAACGGGGAGCAGCCCAGAGCCUGAAUCAGUGUGUGUGUUAGUGGAAGCGUCUGGAAAGGCGCGCGAUACAGGGUGACAGCCCCGUACACAAAAAUGCACAUGCUGUGAGCUCGAUGAGUAGGGCGGGACACGUGGUAUCCUGUCUGAAUAUGGGGGGACCAUCCUCCAAGGCUAAAUACUCCUGACUGACCGAUAGUGAACCAGUACCGUGAGGGAAAGGCGAAAAGAACCCCGGCGAGGGGAGUGAAAAAGAACCUGAAACCGUGUACGUACAAGCAGUGGGAGCACGCUUAGGCGUGUGACUGCGUACCUUUUGUAUAAUGGGUCAGCGACUUAUAUUCUGUAGCAAGGUUAACCGAAUAGGGGAGCCGAAGGGAAACCGAGUCUUAACUGGGCGUUAAGUUGCAGGGUAUAGACCCGAAACCCGGUGAUCUAGCCAUGGGCAGGUUGAAGGUUGGGUAACACUAACUGGAGGACCGAACCGACUAAUGUUGAAAAAUUAGCGGAUGACUUGUGGCUGGGGGUGAAAGGCCAAUCAAACCGGGAGAUAGCUGGUUCUCCCCGAAAGCUAUUUAGGUAGCGCCUCGUGAAUUCAUCUCCGGGGGUAGAGCACUGUUUCGGCAAGGGGGUCAUCCCGACUUACCAACCCGAUGCAAACUGCGAAUACCGGAGAAUGUUAUCACGGGAGACACACGGCGGGUGCUAACGUCCGUCGUGAAGAGGGAAACAACCCAGACCGCCAGCUAAGGUCCCAAAGUCAUGGUUAAGUGGGAAACGAUGUGGGAAGGCCCAGACAGCCAGGAUGUUGGCUUAGAAGCAGCCAUCAUUUAAAGAAAGCGUAAUAGCUCACUGGUCGAGUCGGCCUGCGCGGAAGAUGUAACGGGGCUAAACCAUGCACCGAAGCUGCGGCAGCGACGCUGAUGCGUUGUUGGGUAGGGGAGCGUUCUGUAAGCCUGUGAAGGUGUGCUGUGAGGCAUGCUGGAGGUAUCAGAAGUGCGAAUGCUGACAUAAGUAACGAUAAAGCGGGUGAAAAGCCCGCUCGCCGGAAGACCAAGGGUUCCUGUCCAACGUUAAUCGGGGCAGGGUGAGUCGACCCCUAAGGCGAGGCCGAAAGGCGUAGUCGAUGGGAAACAGGUUAAUAUUCCUGUACUUGGUGUUACUGCGAAGGGGGGACGGAGAAGGCUAUGUUGGCCGGGCGACGGUUGUCCCGGUUUAAGCGUGUAGGCUGGUUUUCCAGGCAAAUCCGGAAAAUCAAGGCUGAGGCGUGAUGACGAGGCACUACGGUGCUGAAGCAACAAAUGCCCUGCUUCCAGGAAAAGCCUCUAAGCAUCAGGUAACAUCAAAUCGUACCCCAAACCGACACAGGUGGUCAGGUAGAGAAUACCAAGGCGCUUGAGAGAACUCGGGUGAAGGAACUAGGCAAAAUGGUGCCGUAACUUCGGGAGAAGGCACGCUGAUAUGUAGGUGAAGCGACUUGCUCGUGGAGCUGAAAUCAGUCGAAGAUACCAGCUGGCUGCAACUGUUUAUUAAAAACACAGCACUGUGCAAACACGAAAGUGGACGUAUACGGUGUGACGCCUGCCCGGUGCCGGAAGGUUAAUUGAUGGGGUCAGCGCAAGCGAAGCUCUUGAUCGAAGCCCCGGUAAACGGCGGCCGUAACUAUAACGGUCCUAAGGUAGCGAAAUUCCUUGUCGGGUAAGUUCCGACCUGCACGAAUGGCGUAAUGAUGGCCAGGCUGUCUCCACCCGAGACUCAGUGAAAUUGAACUCGCUGUGAAGAUGCAGUGUACCCGCGGCAAGACGGAAAGACCCCGUGAACCUUUACUAUAGCUUGACACUGAACAUUGAGCCUUGAUGUGUAGGAUAGGUGGGAGGCUUUGAAGUGUGGACGCCAGUCUGCAUGGAGCCGGCCUUGAAAUACCACCCUUUAAUGUUUGAUGUUCUAACGUUGACCCGUAAUCCGGGUUGCGGACAGUGUCUGGUGGGUAGUUUGACUGGGGCGGUCUCCUCCUAAAGAGUAACGGAGGAGCACGAAGGUUGGCUAAUCCUGGUCGGACAUCAGGAGGUUAGUGCAAUGGCAUAAGCCAGCUUGACUGCGAGCGUGACGGCGCGAGCAGGUGCGAAAGCAGGUCAUAGUGAUCCGGUGGUUCUGAAUGGAAGGGCCAUCGCUCAACGGAUAAAAGGUACUCCGGGGAUAACAGGCUGAUACCGCCCAAGAGUUCAUAUCGACGGCGGUGUUUGGCACCUCGAUGUCGGCUCAUCACAUCCUGGGGCUGAAGUAGGUCCCAAGGGUAUGGCUGUUCGCCAUUUAAAGUGGUACGCGAGCUGGGUUUAGAACGUCGUGAGACAGUUCGGUCCCUAUCUGCCGUGGGCGCUGGAGAACUGAGGGGGGCUGCUCCUAGUACGAGAGGACCGGAGUGGACGCAUCACUGGUGUUCGGGUUGUCAUGCCAAUGGCACUGCCCGGUAGCUAAAUGCGGAAGAGAUAAGUGCUGAAAGCAUCUAAGCACGAAACUUGCCCCGAGAUGAGUUCUCCCUGACUCCUUGAGAGUCCUGAAGGAACGUUGAAGACGACGACGUUGAUAGGCCGGGUGUGUAAGCGCAGCGAUGCGUUGAGCUAACCGGUACUAAUGAACCGUGAGGCUUAACCUUACAACGCCGAAGCUGUU